RNAcentral lists this long non-coding RNA (974 nucleotides) under Triticum aestivum (bread wheat). RNAcentral describes it as "long non-coding RNA (TAES_LNC019185)". The record is from RNAcentral. Lineage: Eukaryota; Viridiplantae; Streptophyta; Magnoliopsida; Poales; Poaceae.
AUUGUAUAGGUUUAAAACGUACAGAUGACAAACUCUAACCUACAAACUCUAGCCUUAACUACGCUUCUUUACAAAUAAGAAUUCUAUAUCGACUCAAUUCGUGCACAUCCAGGCAAGACAUCGCCCCUGAUCUCAUCCUUCAUCACAUACAUGCAAUAAUUAGUCCUCUCGCCAGCAAUAAGAAGCAGACAGGUUGUGUGGCAGUACUUGCAGGUAAUGUUCAUUAUCUCCUUCCACAAAUAAUACAUGCAUGUCUCCUUGCAAUGAUUAAUAUAUGCAUUAACUCUCCGAUCUCAUUACACAUGCUUUGUAUUAACUUGAAUUACAGAGAGAAAGCGCCGAUAAACUUGGGAUUCAGAUCACUAAUUACAGAGCGUGCACAUCACGGCAAGACAUUGCCGUCCUCUCGCAAGCAGCAAGGAGCAGACAGGUUGUGUGGCAGUACUUGCAGCCAAUGUUCAUUAUCUCCUUCCACAAAUAAUAUAUGCAUGUCUCCUGCAAUGAUUAAUAUAUACAUCAACUCUCCGUUCUCAUUACACAUGCUUUGUAUUAACUUGAAUUACACAGAGAAAGUGGCGAUAAACUUGAGAUUCAGAUCACCAAUUACAGAGCAUAUAUGUCCUCUCAUUGGAAGGUGACAACACAAGUAUCCUUCUUUCACAAUAGAAUAAUGAUUUUAGACGAUUUAAAAGCCUUUGUUGGAAAACAAUCCAUACGAAAAAGAAUCUUAUCAGGAAACUAUCUGUUCCAUACAAAUACCUUCAGCAUCCUUGCAAACAAUGUGGUCCCUGACAUGUUUACAUUAAAUUUAUCAUCAGCAAUUCUGAAUUUCUGAACAAAUAAAAUCAGUUACGUAUAAGAUGCCCUCACUUAUAUCUCAGAAUAAAAUCAGUUACACUUUUUACCUCAUUUAUUUCAGGAUUCACUAGCCGCAGUCAACAUGCGUCGAACACGCACUAGAGCAAAUCAAAACA